This 843-nucleotide ribosomal RNA is filed under the name uncultured bacterium. RNAcentral describes it as "bacterial SSU rRNA". It matches the Rfam family "Bacterial small subunit ribosomal RNA", at positions 1 to 851 of the family's 1533-position model. The record is from RNAcentral.
GAAUUCGCCCUUAGAGUUUGAUCCUGGCUCAGGAUGAACGCUGGCGGCGUGCUUAACACAUGCAAGUCGAACGAGAGAUGAGGAGCUUGCUCUUCAAAUCGAGUGGCGAACGGGUGAGUAACGCGUGAGGAACCUGCCUCAAAGAGGGGGACAACAGUUGGAAACGACUGCUAAUACCGCAUAAGCCCACGGCUCGGCAUCGAGCAGAGGGAAAAGGAGCAAUCCGCUUUGAGAUGGCCUCGCGUCCGAUUAGCUAGUUGGUGAGGUAACGGCCCACCAAGGCGACGAUCGGUAGCCGGACUGAGAGGUUGAACGGCCACAUUGGGACUGAGACACGGCCCAGACUCCUACGGGAGGCAGCAGUGGGGAAUAUUGCACAAUGGGGGAAACCCUGAUGCAGCGACGCCGCGUGGAGGAAGAAGGUCUUCGGAUUGUAAACUCCUGUUGUUGAGGAAGAUAAUGACGGUACUCAACAAGGAAGUGACGGCUAACUACGUGCCAGCAGCCGCGGUAAAACGUAGGUCACAAGCGUUGUCCGGAAUUACUGGGUGUAAAGGGAGCGCAGGCGGGAGAACAAGUUGGAAGUGAAAUCCAUGGGCUCAACCCAUGAACUGCUUUCAAAACUGUUUUUCUUGAGUAGUGCAGAGGUAGGCGGAAUUCCCGGUGUAGCGGUGGAAUGCGUAGAUAUCGGGAGGAACACCAGUGGCGAAGGCGGCCUACUGGGCACCAACUGACGCUGAGGCUCGAAAGUGUGGGUAGCAAACCAGGAUUAGAUACCCUGGUAGUCCACACCGUAAACGAUGAAUACUAGGGGUCGGGGCUCAUAAGAGCUUCGUGCCGCAG